Molecule: non-coding RNA, 73 nt
Organism: Ovis aries (sheep)
Lineage: Eukaryota; Metazoa; Chordata; Mammalia; Artiodactyla; Bovidae
Source: Rfam
UUUCUGGUGGUUCAGAAGGUAAAGAAUCUGCCUGCAAUGCAGGAGACCUGGGUUCAAUCCCUGGGCCAGGGAA